Small nucleolar RNA from Cyprinodon tularosa, 101 nucleotides. RefSeq annotates it as small nucleolar RNA SNORA17. NCBI's taxonomy places the organism in Eukaryota, Metazoa, Chordata, Actinopteri, Cyprinodontiformes, Cyprinodontidae. The record is from RefSeq and is a predicted model, not a curated record. The transcript has a single exon.
UCUCUCUCUCCGGCGUUUAAGGAGCAGCAGCACGGCUGUUUCUGUGUCGAGUGGAGAGAGAGCUGAGUGGGUGGGCCAGACUGAGGCCCCAUCCACACGAA